This 930-nucleotide ribosomal RNA is filed under the name uncultured bacterium. RNAcentral's name for it is "bacterial SSU rRNA". It matches the Rfam family "Bacterial small subunit ribosomal RNA", at positions 32 to 1004 of the family's 1533-position model. The record is from RNAcentral.
GACGCUGGCGGCGGCUUACACAUGCAAGUCGAACGCGUGUAGCAAUACACGAGUGGCGCACGGGUGAGUAACGCGUGGAUAUCUGCCUUUUGGUUCGGAAUAACUCCGGGAAACUGGAGCUAAUACCGGAUGGUUCCUACGGGAUAAAGAUUUAUCGCCAAAAGAUGAGUCCGCGUACGAUUAGCUAGUUGGUGAGGUAAUGGCUCACCAAGGCGACGAUCGUUAGCUGGUCUGAGAGGACGAUCAGCCACACUGGGACUGAGACACGGCCCAGACUCCUACGGGAGGCAGCAGUGGGGAAUAUUGGACAAUGGGGGCAACCCUGAUGCAGCGACGCCGCGUGAGUGACGAAGGCCUUCGGGUUGUAAAGCUCUGUUCUCAGGGAAAAAGCAAGUGAUUGUACCUGAGGAGAAAGGACCGGCUAACUUCGUGCCAGCAGCCGCGGUAAGACGAGGGGUCCAAGCGUUGUUCGGAAUCAUUGGGCGUAAAGCGGGUGUAGGUGGCUCUAUAAGUCAGGAGUGAAAGCCCCGAGCUUAACUCGGGAAGUGCUUUUGAUACUGUAGAGCUUGAGUGUGGGAGAGGAUCGUGGAAUUCCAGGUGUAGUGGUGAAAUACGUAGAUAUCUGGAGGAACACCGGUGGCGAAGGCGGCAAUCUGGCCCAACACUGACACUGAGACCCGAAAGCAUGGGGAUCAAACAGGAUUAGAUACCCUGGUAGUCCAUGCCAUAAACGAUGAUCACUUGGUGUUGGAGGUAUUGACCCCUUCAGUGCCGAAGCUAACGCGUUAAGUGAUCCGCCUGGGGAGUACNGUUGCAAGAUUAAAACUCAAAGAAAUUGACNGGGGCCCNCCCAAGCCGUGGANCAUGUGGUUUAAUUCNAUGCAACNCGAAAAACCUUACCUANAUUUGACAUGGUUUGGAANGGUGGCA